Molecule: ribosomal RNA, 279 nt
Filed under: uncultured Nitrospira sp.
Lineage: Bacteria; Pseudomonadati; Nitrospirota; Nitrospiria; Nitrospirales; Nitrospiraceae
Description: partial 16S ribosomal RNA
Rfam family: Bacterial small subunit ribosomal RNA
Source: RNAcentral
GUAUAAGAGACAGCAGCAGCCGCGGUAAUACAGAGGGUGCGAGCGUUGUCCGGAAUCACUGGGCGUAAAGGGCGCGUAGGUGGCCUGAUAAGUAGGGGGUGAAAUCUCGAGGCUCAACUUCGAGGCUGCCUCCUAAACUGUCAGGCUUGAGCAGAGUAGAGGCAGGUGGAAUUCCCGGUGUAGCGGUGGAAUGCGUAGAGAUCGGGAAGAACAUCGGUGGCGAAGGCGGCCUGCUGGGCUCUUGCUGACACUGAGGCGCGACAGCGUGGGGAGCAAACA